UGCAGUCGAGCGGCAGACAGGUAGCAUGUUGCUGCUCGUGUGGGCGGAGGGGUGAGUGAGGCUUAUGAAUCUGACUCUUAGUGGGGGAGGGGGAUUCCAUAGGAAUGCUUAUACCGCUAACGUCCUACAGCAAAAGGCAGGGGAUCGUCAGACCUUGCCCUUGUACAUGAGCCUGAGUCGGAUUAACUUUUUGGUGGGGUAAAGGCCUACCAAGGCGACGGUCUGUAUCGGGUCUGAGAGGAUGAUCCGCCACACUGGGACUGAAACAGAGCCCAGACUCCUACUGGAGGCAGCAGUGGGGAAGAUUGAACUAUGGGCACGGGCCUGAUCCAGCCAUGCCCCUUGUGUGUAGAAGGCCAUAGGGUUGUAAUUCACUUUCCCCGAGGAGGAGGCAACUUUACUUAAUACCUAUACAUAGUGGACGUUACUCUCCCAAUAAACACCGCCUAACUCUGUGCCAUCACCCCCGGUACUACAAAGGGUGCGGUCGUUACUCUGAUUUACUGUGCGUAAAGCACGCCUAGGCUGCUAAUUAAUUCAAAUGUGAUAUCCCCGAGCUGAACUUGGGAAUUGCAUUCCAUACUGGUCAGCUAGACUGUGGUAUAGGAUGGUAUAAUUCCAUGUGUAGCGGUGAAAUGCGUAGAGAUCUGGACGAGUACCGAUGGCGAAGGCAGCGCUCUGGCCUAACACUGACGCUAACUGCGAAAGCAUGGCGAGCAAACAAGAUUAGAUACCCUGGUAGUGCUAUGCCGUACACGAUAUCAACUAAACUGUUGUGGUCGUGUGAGCUUUAGUGGCGCAGCUAACGCUAUAACUAUACCUCCUCGGCGAGUACGGUCCCAUCACUAAAACUCAAAUGAAUUG
RNAcentral lists this ribosomal RNA (864 nucleotides) under uncultured bacterium. RNAcentral describes it as "bacterial SSU rRNA". It matches the Rfam family "Bacterial small subunit ribosomal RNA", at positions 56 to 912 of the family's 1533-position model. The record is from RNAcentral.